GUUCACCCUUUUUACAAAAAAAGGAUCCUCACCAAGAUCAUGCUGCCAUCAAUGCAGCCUCACAAUCGUCAACCCAAGCCGAGUUGAGUCAGGGAGUGGCUAAAGAGCAACCAAGAUCCACCAAACCAGGCCAGAGAACUUGAGAGCCACCGUACUACAUCGGGCGGCAUGGAUUCGGGAGAACAGCAGCAAAACCCUACAGGAGAUAACGCUGGAGUGGCAAAGAACCUGACACCCCAGGAAUGGUAUCACAAGACCUUGAAAUUUCGUUCCCGGAGGUAAACCACUGGCUGUAUGAGUUUUGGCUCCCAGUGAUAAUGGAGGAAGUCCUCUUCACCAAAAAAGAAAAGGGCCAGUGACCUUCUCCCAGACCCUG
Long non-coding RNA from Coregonus clupeaformis (lake whitefish), 376 nucleotides. RefSeq lists it as uncharacterized. NCBI's taxonomy places the organism in Eukaryota, Metazoa, Chordata, Actinopteri, Salmoniformes, Salmonidae. The record is from RefSeq and is a predicted model, not a curated record. The transcript has 3 exons.